Molecule: long non-coding RNA, 3294 nt
Organism: Rhincodon typus (whale shark)
Lineage: Eukaryota; Metazoa; Chordata; Chondrichthyes; Orectolobiformes; Rhincodontidae
Exons: 3
Source: RefSeq, a predicted model, not a curated record
CACGUAUAUUGAAGAAGUUGCAAAACGUUUGCUUCAUUACCAGAUGCUGGUCUGCCUGCCUUCAUUUAUCCAAAGACUGAACACCACAGCUGAAGCAGAUUCCAUUCUUCUGAUAGGUUUGACUGUAAAAUACAGCUAUGCAGAAGACAAAAGAGAAAUGUAACUUCCAUAUUUCUAUAGUGAUUGUAGCUUGACGGGAAAAACAUUUCUGCUAUCCUGAUGGCCCAUUCAGCAAAGAUACCACCCACUGCACUCUAAAAAUAAGAUACCAAGGAAUCAAAGACAAAUUCAUUUUCAAAAGUAACUUUCUAUCCAUGACUCAAGAGAUCACAGCUUCUGCACUGAGUGUAUUUGACAAGCUGAAUUCAGACACUCAAUUUAAAACAGUGUCAGUUUGUCAAAUACCCCAAGUGCAGAGCUGAAAAGCAGCUGAACAUUGUCCAGUACUGUGAGAGGCUUAAAGAAACAAGCAUACAACUGAUGAGACUCUAGUAUCUGCAUAUAUGUGUAUGUAUGUCUAUUUGUGUUUACAAAAUCCAGAGUGAAAUAAGUGCAGUUUGUGAACUGAAUGGUUAUUAUUCAGAUGCUACAGACUUUGUGUACCUAACACAAGAUGGCUAUUUUAAAAUGGAUAUUACAUUCUCAAAGCAUUAUAUUAAACUAAUGGACAACAUGUAAGAUAUCAUGACAUCACUAGCCACAUUAAGACUGCUAAAAUAAAAACUUUUAUUUCCAAAAACGAGUAAAUAAAAAGUAGUAUCUUAGGUGCUUAUCCAGCACUUAUUUGCUUGCAUGAACAGUAAAAGUAUUCCGAGUUUCUGGCACACAUUCAUUCUCAAUAACGAAACAAUUUUCACUCUUUCAUCUUUUCCAUAUAUCACUAACAUUUGACCAUUCCAUCACUGCCUCUCCAGGAGGCAAAUUCUGAACAAUGAGAUCAAUGCCUCUCCAUUGGCUGACAUAAAUGGACCAGGAAGACUAGCUGUUCUUGCUUGGAAAGGAGUAUGUGAUAAUGUUCAACAUAGUCAAUUGUUUAAGUUUCUGUUUUCAAUUAACAUUGUUAAUAUGGAGUCCAUGGGAAGUCAGCAAGUUAACAAAACAGAUUAACUCACCUUAAGCCAUUGACAAGAAAAAAGUUACAUUUUUGCUAUUGUUGCAUCCAACAGACUCUUGAAUGAUUCAAAACUUUUGCCUUCACUACACCACCUGAAAUUUAAUUGCAAGUAUAAGGUUUACCCUGAGAACGUGAUAGUGCCUGAUUCAGAUCAGUUUAAAGAAAACUCUCUGAUCGCUUGCAGUGUCAGAAUGUAUCCACUGUCUUUCAAACUAUUUCUCAGCACCUUCAGGACAGGAUGCAAGCAUUUAGGGGAAAAGCCUUUAUGUUUCAUCAGUAUGUGACACAUAGAUAAUGAAUGGACAACCAAUAGUGGCCCAGUCAAUGAUACGCACUUACCAUAAAAACAAAAUAUAAACAGGAAUAGACCACAGUAGUUCAUCAAACCUCUGAUUUUGGCUGAUAAUUGACUUAAAUCCAUUUUUACAUCCUCCCUUACAUUUGGAACAUAGGAGCUUAAUGGCUGGUCAUCCACAUCAAUGCUGUAUUCCCUCACUAUUUUCAUAUCCUUUGAUGUCAUUAGUAACUCUGACUUGAACUUAUUGAAUAAAUGAGCUUCCACAGCUCACUGGGCUGGAGAGUUCCAUUGAUUCACCAUCCUAUCCUCCUCUUUUCAGUCCUAAAUGACUUGUCUGUUAUUCUAGACUGUGUCCCCUGGUUUAGAGCCCACAGCCGGGGCAAUAUCCUUGCUGCAUCUACUCUGACUAACCUUUUUAAGAAUUUUGUAUGUUUCUAUUAGAUCGUCUGUCAUUCUUCAGAACUCCAGAGGAUAUAGGCCUAGUCUCCUCAAUCUCUCCUCAUUGGAUAGUCCCACCAUCCCAGGAAUCUGUCUGGUGAAUCUCUGCUGCUCCCUCUAUCUUUCCUUAGGCAAGGGGAUUAGAACUGCACACAUUACUCCAGUCUCACCAGUGAGCUAUACAAUUAAAGGAAAACUUCUUUGAUCGUAUACUCAAAUCAUCUUGUGAUAAAAGAUAACCUACCAAUUUUCCUUCCAAAUUCUUUGAUUAUUAGCUUUCAAUUAAUUAUGAACGAAGAUACCUAGGCCCUUUUGACAUCAACACUUUCCAAUCUCAUAAUCUCUGCAUCUCCAUUCCUCUUUCCUAAGUGGAUAACCUCACACUUUUAGCCAUUGCAUUCCACUGACCAUGCACUUGCCCACUCACAGCCUCAUUUCCUGAGAGUUCAAAUGUGUGCUAUUCUCAGCCUUCAAUGAAUUCAACAAUGGACCAUCCAUAAUCAUUGGGGGUAGAGAACACAAUUCACAAACCUCGGUCCAAAAUGACUGGUCCAUUCUCCUGAGACUGUGGCCAUGUGUUCUAGGUUUCUCGUCAGGGCAAACAAUGUCUCACCAUUGACUCUGUUAAAUCCCUCCAAAACCUUGCAUGUUUCAAUGAGAUCAUCCUUCAUUCUUCUAAGAUCCAGGUUACUAUAGGCACAAUUGACUCAGCCUAUCACCAUUGGAAAAACCCUCUCAUCAACAUAUCAAUCAAGUUAACAUUUGCUGUUCCACAUCCCACGCAAGUAUAUCCUAAAAACAAAGACCAAACUGCACACAGUGCUACAGGUGUGUUCUCACUAAAGCCUAGUACAUUGAAAUCACAGUUCCUUAUUCAUGUACAGCAAACCCUUUGCAAACAGGUUCAAAAGUCUGUUUCUAACUGAUGCAUGUUUCUAGUUGGUAACCUAUGGUUAGUAAAUAAAACUGAAAAUGUUUAUGAUUUACAUCUAACAUGUUCCACACAAUUAGGAUCAUCACUAUGUGAUCAUCUUGUGAACAUAAGUUACUAUUUCUUAGUGAAAUGCUUGGAAUGGGAAUAACAAUGAUCUCUAAUAUGUAACCGUUCCAUCAGCUUCUGAAAAGAGAAAAGACAGGCUAACAUUUGAGCUUGACACUGUGUGGCAGCUCUGGUGCAGCCUUUCUGUUUUUGCUUCAAACGUUCAGAUUUGCAGUUUAUUUGUUCAGCAUAUACAUAAAUCUUCAUAGAGUUGCCACAAUUUCUAAAUUAGCAAAUUCAUAAGGUAACAAUAUAUAAAAAGAAAUAAAUUUUUAAAAGAAACAUACUGCAGUUCUAAAGAGAGGAAAUGCUGCUUAAUGUGAUAUGAUACAGAUUGAGCCAAAUGAGUGAAGAAUGUACAAGUUUAAUGAAACCUAUAAUAUUAAUAAAAAUAUGUUUGUGGUC